RNAcentral lists this ribosomal RNA (253 nucleotides) under uncultured bacterium. RNAcentral describes it as "partial 16S ribosomal RNA". It matches the Rfam family "Bacterial small subunit ribosomal RNA", at positions 524 to 776 of the family's 1533-position model. The record is from RNAcentral.
GACGAACCGUGCGAACGUUGUUCGGAAUCACUGGGCUUAAAGGGCGCGUAGGCGGGUUUGCAAGUCCGGGGUGAAAUCCCACAGCUCAACUGUGGAACUGCCUCGGAUACUGUGAGUCUCGAGGGUGGCAGGGGUAUGCGGAACUAUCGGUGGAGCGGUGAAAUGCGUUGAUAUCGAUAGGAACUCCGGUGGCGAAGGCGGCAUACUGGUCCACUUCUGACGCUGAGGCGCGAAAGCCAGGGGAGCAAACGGG